This 500-nucleotide ribosomal RNA is filed under the name uncultured bacterium. Its description in RNAcentral is "partial 16S ribosomal RNA". It matches the Rfam family "Bacterial small subunit ribosomal RNA", at positions 30 to 523 of the family's 1533-position model. The record is from RNAcentral.
AUUGAACGCUGGCGGAAUGCUUUACACAUGCAAGUCGAACGGCAGCACGGACUUCGGUCUGGUGGCGAGUGGCGAACGGGUGAGUAAUGUAUCGGAACGUGCCCAGUCGCGGGGGAUAACGUAGUGAAAAUUACGCUAAUACCGCAUACGAUCUAUGGAUGAAAGCGGGGGAUCGCAAGACCUCGCGCGAUUGGAGCGGCCGAUAUCAGAUUAGGUAGUUGGUGGGGUAAAGGCCCACCAAGCCAACGAUCUGUAGCUGGUCUGAGAGGACGACCAACCACACUGGAACUGAGACACGGUCCAGACUCCUACGGGAGGCAGCGGUGGGGAAUUUUGGACAAUGGGCGAAAGCCUGAUCCAGCCAUUCCGCGUGCAGGAUGAAGGCCCUCGGGUUGUAAACUGCUUUUGUACAGAACGAAAAGGUUUCUACUAAUACUAGGAGCUCAUGACGGUACUGUAAGAAUAAGCACCGGCUAACUACGUGCCAGCCGCCGCUGUAA